Molecule: long non-coding RNA, 775 nt
Organism: Carassius gibelio (silver crucian carp)
Lineage: Eukaryota; Metazoa; Chordata; Actinopteri; Cypriniformes; Cyprinidae
Exons: 3
Source: RefSeq, a predicted model, not a curated record
AGAUGUUAAAAGCAAGAGACAUGGGAGAGCAUCAUUCCUUUGAGAUUUUAUAACUCAAACCAACUUUGGAGUUGUCUGAUUUGGAGAGUCAUUAUUCUUGGUCUUCGCUCUUAGAGGCCACUGAUGAAGAACAGGCGGUGACUGGGAUGAAUGCUGCUCAGAGAGGAGAAUCUUCUUUCCCCUAAACCGAUGCAGCGGUGGUUUUAAAGGAGGACGCUGCCCUGGAUGAUGUAGAAGAUGUCACAUGCUGUGCUGAUGGGGUUUCUUCAUGAUUACAUCAGUUAUGCUAAAGAGAUCAUGAAAAUUGACUGUGAUGCAUGAUCUGUAUUCAUGGACUAUGAAACAAACUGUAAGUGUAUAAUUUGUAAAAAAAAAAAAAAGUUAAAUGCUUUUUCUGUGUUGUUUAGUAGAAGAGUUUACACUCUGUCAUUCAUACACCUGCUCACAUUCUUUCACACACACACACACACACAUGCGUCUGUUAAAUGUUAUAAUAUCAAAGUUAAUGUGAUUUAUUUGUGUACUGUCAUGCCAGAAUAGUUGGAAAAAAACCUAAUUAAUUGUAAAUUUAUUGUAUGUGUUUUCGUAUAUUUUUAUACAAUAUAUACAAAUGAACAAAGUCCAAUUUGAUCUUAAGUUAUAUUCAUCAAAUGUUCAAUGCUUUGUUUAUGAACUCUGUAGCUGUUAAUGCCAUCCUUUUCUGCAUUUCUUCUAACAUGUUACUUUUUGACUUUUCUCUUGUUUUUAAUAAAUAUUUUCCUUUUGGUAAUUAUUA